Molecule: long non-coding RNA, 4904 nt
Filed under: Homo sapiens (human)
Lineage: Eukaryota; Metazoa; Chordata; Mammalia; Primates; Hominidae
Description: HSALNT0312775
Source: RNAcentral
ACUCGAGUAGGGAGUCUGGCCUAGUGAAAGUCUCUGUUUCCUCCUUUUCUUACUUUUCACUCAAUAAAACCCUGCUUUACACACCCUUCAAACCAUCUGUGAGCCUGAAUUUUUACGGCCAUGGGACAGACAAGGAUCCUGUCUUUAUCUAAACUAAGGAAAAGUCCUGCAACAUUUGUGGUGCACAACGUGGGGCUCGAGAAGUGGAAAACGCCUAUUUUGGAGUGAAACCAGGGCCGCCUUAUGAGCUAAACAGAGUGUGUUACAGCUUCAAUAGACUAAACAAGCUCUAAAUUUAUCUUCCUAUGGUCACGGGAUCUCAUAUAUUCUGGCUGUCAUUGUCAUAAUAAGCCACUCUUGGUCAUAUGGAAAAGCAUUCAGCUGCUCCCUGCCUUUGCUCACAGCGUGUGGUACUCUCUUAGAAGCUAUUCCUGGAAUAUGAAUCUGGAAGGUUGAAGUGUUGUGUUGAGAAAAUAUUUGUGUAAUAUACAAGGAAACUGCAGAGAAGAGAAUAAUUUGCAACCCAUUCUUCUGAGGCCCAAAUUAACUCAAUACCAACACAACAUAAGGACACUAUAAGAAAACUGUUCAUUGGUAAUUUGCUAAAAGAAUGCCAGUGGGAACAGAACAGAAGCAUUUUCAAGAUUAAAUUGGCAAUGGUUGUGACUGAUUGGAUGAAGGAAGUAAGGGGGAGAGAUUCAUCAGAGAAAGAAGGCUUCUUUAAGCAGCAGAAUUGAGGAAUGAGUCAGAAAAUAAAAGAGCAAACAGGUUUUUGUUGUUUUAUUUAAUUUUGGUCAACCUACUUGUAUUGGCUUUCAUAGCAUAAAGAAAAUAUUUUACUUUGAACAAGCAUAAAACAAAAACACAUCUUUCAUACAAUACAAUGCAAUCGAUGGCUUUUCCCCAAUGAUUUAUGGAAAUAGCUCUAAAGGAGAGAGAUGAUUUUGUUGCCAGGUCUCCUCAGAUAUCAUCAGUAUUUUUAAUCUCUCAUGACAUUGCUCUACACCCUCUUGCUGCUAUAUUUCUAAAUGCCCUGAGGAUGUUAUUUCUGGCUGUUUCUCUACAAUUAUAGGACCAUAUGCUACUCUCCUUGAUCAUAGAAAUUUAUGACAUGCUCUCUGUUUUACUUCUACCUCAGUUGACAUAAUAUUUUCCAGCAAGUUCAUGUGUUGCUUUUAAAAUAACUUAAUUCAACUCUUGUAGACAAAAAGAAACAUUUUCUUUCUGUGGUCAUUCAGGAUGAGAUGGUAACACCAGAGGUCUCAGUAACAACGCUUCAGGGAAAUAUUUUUAGGAUCUGACACAUUCAGCAGAGAAAAGGAAGAUGAAAAACUGGCCUUUUCCUGAAAAUGUGAUAAAAGCAACAUCACACUGGAAGAAAACUAACAGAGAAUGGAGGUUGAUCCACCUAAGAGACCUGUAGGUCAACACAUAUUCAAGUGCAGAUCAGAGAAUGAGCCUCCCCAGAAGAGGAAGCAGGAGAUCUGAAAGAGAAAUCUUUUCACAGAAAGGAAGUGCUCUGUUUAACAGAGCUUGACUUUAGCAUCAGUCAAUUCAGGCAGCUCUACACAGAAGAGAGCAUCUUGCCCCAGUGUCCACAGAGAGCAGGCACUUCCUGGACCCUUGAGCAAACAUGCCAGGAGGUCACUUAAAACAGCGACUCUUCCUUGGUUGUACAAAAUGAAUGGUACCAAGAAAAAAUUUUCUUUCCUUGGAGGAAAAUUAGAUUCAUUACAAGCAUUUUUUUUUUUAAAGCAACAAAUGGAACCCAGUUGUAAAAAAAAAAAAAAUAAAGAAAAGAAAAGAAAAGUAAAGGGAUAUUUCUAGAAACUGAAACGAUCACAAUGAUUUAUGUUGAAUACGAAACAUAUUCUAACAGUAGAAGGUCACAUUAAACAUCCAAGUGAUGUUAAUGCAAAGAAAAUUCAACAUUAUUUUACAAGGAGGUCCAAAUUCUGGAGAUAGAAUUUUCAAAAAACAAACAGAUGCGAGAACUACAGGUAUGGGAAGAAAAUGUAAGAUCAGGCAAAAAAUCCAGGUGUAAAGAAAUUACAUAGAGAAAAGCUACUACUAAAUCCUGCCAUAGUUGUGUAAUUAAAAAGUAGUCUCGGGAGGCUGAGGCUGGCAGAUCACUUGAGGUCAGGAGUUUGAGACCAGCCUGGCCAACAUGGUGAAACCCCAUCACCACAAAAAAUACAAAAAUUAGCCGGUCAUGGUGGUGCAUGCCUGUAGUCCCAGCUACCUGGGAGGCUGAGGCAGGAGAACCACUGGAACCCGGGAGGCGAAGGUUGCAGUGAGUGGAGAUCAUGCCACUGCCCUCCAGUCUGGGCUACAAUGUGAGACCCUGUCUCAAAAAAAAAAAAAAAAAAAGUAGUAGUGACACUGAAAUAUACUACCUUAUUGUAUACUUACCUAUGAUCCUCACAUUAAAAAUGUUAUAACCCAAAAGCGAUUUAAAAACUAACAUAUAUGCUUUUUUAAAAAAUGCAUUAAAUGGUAUUUUAUCUGUAAGAUAAUACACAAAGAGCUAUUUGACCCCAAAUGUAGCUAAAACUAAUUAAUUUAUAUUUUUGUUCUAGUUUAUUUUCAUUGUAUUAUAAAGGUAAUGUUUUCCACCUGAUUCAUUUGUUUCUUAUUCCAGUGUUUUUAUUUUCCAGUUAAAAAGGCUUUUGUGACAUCUUAAAUUAUUUAGCAGAGAGGCAUGGCCAUAGGAUUGGCAAUAUAUCUUCUCUUUUUAACUUCUCCCCUAUCUUAUGGAGAUGGAAAUUUUGGGUUCUAAGUAAUAAGGAACAAACAGUUGAGAGAGAACUUCAAAUUUUAAAACUAUGGGAAUUCAUUUCCAAAUGCACAUUGAUUAAAUAGUGGAUAGUUUUUUGUAAAGGUUGUUUAUAAAGUGGAUUUUUGUUUCCAAGUCAUAGAAGGUAGGUUUAAUAGAAGAAUCAGUAAUCAAAAACAUGUCAGAGAUGGGCUGGAGGAUUGACUCAAACAAAAGGAAGUUUAAUAGAAAUAAAUUUAAUAUCAAACUUGUGUCCAAAAACUCCAUCUGCACAACAGAAUAUGUGAGAGGCCAGCAUAUAUACAUAUAAGUACAGUUAGAGGCUUUCUGACUGAAAUAAACGUGAGACAGCAGUGAGAUCUGGUUGUCAAAAUGAUAUAAUCUUAGACUUCGUUAUUAGUAAUAAUCGGUGGAGAGUGAUAAUUCCACUCUGUUCACACAAUCUGUUGUUAGACCACAAGGGGAAUUAUGUUCAGUUUUGUUGCAUGACAGUUUAAGAGGCAAAAAUAUCAACUGGUGUAUAGUCAGGGAAGAGUAGCUAGUGCCUUGUCUGGGCUUUUAGUAGUGCUGUAUGCUGAAUAUUAAAGGAGGCAGAAAUAUUUAAUAUGAAGAAUGGAAAAUUACGGGGCAGCAAAUAAACCCACGCACUGAACUCGGGGGCUCAAAGCGCUUUAUGGAGCCACAUCUCUCAUAAUUAAUUUAAAAUAUAACAUCAAUGAAACAUAAAAGAUGUAUUAAAAAGACUAGAAAAAUUAUGGUUCCUAUUAUUGUUAAUACUAUUUUUGACACAUCAACACUUCAAAUUAUUUCAGAAAACAUUAUCAAAAACUUUUUUCAUUAUCGAAUUUUGUGACAUUCUUUUGUUGGUGCCCUAAGCAUGACUCCAGAGCAUUGUGGAAAUACAGCUCUUCAGGAGGUGGUCACUUUUCAAAUACUGGAAACAUUUGAAUGAUGGAGAUAACAUGUUCAGUAUUUAAAUAUUCAAAACGUAUUUGAACCAGAGGACUGCGAAAAUUUCUUCUAAAUCAAGCAGUACUAUUUUUGUCUCUAAAUAAUAAUUUCAUUCCUAUUAGUUCAUAUUCUCAUAUAAAUUGAUUAUAAUACAUAGAAAUUUUCAGAUCAAAUAAAACGGAGAUAAAUUAGGUUAAUAUAUGUUAGCUUCUAUAUUUAACUAAGAUUUUUAACUGAAAGUUGUAAGUCACUUUUUCAAUUUUGCAUUAACCUCAUUGCAACUGUCAUGGAGUUGAUACGGCAUUAUCCACAAAUUGCUUCUGAAGAUUAUUGGUAGAGGGUACAAAGCAAGGCACAUCAUCUUUAUCAUUUGAACACAGGAGAUAUGAUUUUUUAAUCUAUUUUCUAUUGUUAUUUGAUAUGCAAUCUCACUUUUAGUAGAAACAGUUGUUUCAUUUGCACACAAAAAUAAAUAGACUUCAUUUCAUUUGGAGUGGUGGCUUAAAUAAGUAUAUUUGGUUUCAAGAAGAACAGAAAUUGUGUUUUUUAUUCUUGAGGAUAAAUUAUAAACUCUGCAAAAAAUAUUAAUAGUUUUAUAUCUUAUUUUAGACAUCAUUUGCUUUAGGGACAAUAGAGAAAGCUCUUACAGGAGUUUAAAACGACUAAAAACUAAUGUGUAAUGAGAAUCCUUCACUGCCUAUCUCUUGAAUUAUUAAGUUUGGGCUUAGGUAAAAAGUGCCGUGAUUUUUAUUUUUAUGUAACGACUUUCUUGGGUGCCAUAAGGAAAAUAUUGGGUUUAGCUUUUAUUAAUUUUUAAUAAUUUGCUAACCAGUAAGCUAGAAGUGUGCUACUAGAAAUUACAUUUUGGAUAACAAAGAAUAUUUCCCAUGAAUCUGUACUCUUUAGCAGCUAAUGAACAUCUGUUUGUUUGUAUAAGCAAUCAAACAAACAAAUGGAGCCCAGCGCUCAGACUCAAGAACUAGUUUCACAUGUAAGUAAAAUGUAAUUCUCUGCUUCUAUUGUAUCAUUAUUAUUUUUAUUAUAACUUUGGGGUAUCAGCACCAAACAGGUACAUAUAAUUAAAUAUAAAAACCAUGAAAUAUGUAUACAAUUAAUUUACAUGUAAUUAAAAUGAAUAUUUGUAUAAUUAAAAAUAAAUUUUGCAUUAUUCUUAUUA